Molecule: transfer RNA, 83 nt
Organism: Lachancea lanzarotensis
Lineage: Eukaryota; Fungi; Ascomycota; Saccharomycetes; Saccharomycetales; Saccharomycetaceae
Rfam family: tRNA
About the family: Transfer RNA (tRNA) molecules are approximately 80 nucleotides in length. Their secondary structure includes four short double-helical elements and three loops (D, anti-codon, and T loops).
Source: Rfam
AUUCCCGUGGUCUAGUGGUUACGACGUCUCCUUUACAAUCAUAAAAUCGGAGAAGAUCCCGAGUUCGAACCUCGGCGGGAAUA